Molecule: ribosomal RNA, 583 nt
Filed under: uncultured bacterium
Lineage: Bacteria
Description: bacterial SSU rRNA
Rfam family: Bacterial small subunit ribosomal RNA
Source: RNAcentral
AGAGUUUGAUCAUGGCUCAGGAUGAACGCUGGCGGCGUGCCUAACACAUGCAAGUCGAACGGAGUCGUUUUGGAAAUCUCUUCGGAGAUGGAAUUCUCGACUUAGUGGCGGACGGGUGAGUAACGCGUGAGCAAUCUGCCUUUAAGAGGGGGAUAACAGUCGGAAACGGCUGCUAAUACCGCAUAAAGCAUCAAAUUCGCAUGUUUUUGAUGCCAAAGGAGCAAUCCGCUUUUAGAUGAGCUCGCGUCUGAUUAGCUAGUUGGCGGGGUAACGGCCCACCAAGGCGACGAUCAGUAGCCGGACUGAGAGGUUGAACGGCCACAUUGGGACUGAGACACGGCCCAGACUCCUACGGGAGGCAGCAGUGGGGAAUAUUGCGCAAUGGGGGAAACCCUGACGCAGCAACGCCGCGUGAUUGAAGAAGGCCUUCGGGUUGUAAAGAUCUUUAAUCAGGGACGAAACAAAUGACGGUACCUGAAGAAUAAGCUCCGGCUAACUACGUGCCAGCAGCCGCGGUAAUACGUAGGGAGCAAGCGUUAUCCGGAUUUACUGGGUGUAAAGGGCGCGCAGGCGGGCCGGCAAG